UGCAAGUCGAACGCGCAGCAUUCUGUAGCAAUACAGGAUGUGGGCGCGUGGCGAACGGGUGCGUAACACGUGGAUAACCUUCCUUCAGGUGGGGAAUAACCCAGUGAAAAUUGGGCUAAUACCGCAUAACAUCGCGAUGGCACAUGCUAUUGCGUUCAAAGGCGCAAGUCGCCAGAAGAGGGAUCCGCGGCCGAUUAGCUUGUUGGCGGGGUAACGGCCCACCAAGGCUUUGAUCGGUAGCCGGACUGAGAGGUUGGCCGGCCACACUGGAACUGAGACACGGUCCAGACUCCUACGGGAGGCAGCAGUGGGGAAUCUUGCACAAUGGACGAAAGUCUGAUGCAGCAACGCCGCGUGGGGGAUGAAGCUUCUCGGAGUGUAAACCCCUUUCGACCCGGACGAAUGCCCGCAAGGGUUUGACGGUACGGGUAUAAGAAGCCCCGGCUAACUACGUGCCAGCAGCCGCGGUAAUACGUAGGGGGCCAGCGUUGCUCGGAAUUACUGGGCGUAAAGGGUCCGUAGGCGGUGCGGCAAGUCGAUAGUGAAAUCUCUGGGCUUAACUCAGAGGCUGCUAACGAAACUGCCGUGCUAGAGUGUGAGAGAGGCGAGUGGAAUUACGGGUGUAGCGGUGAAAUGCGUAGAUAUCCGUAGGAACAUCCGAGGCGAAAGCGGCUCGCUGGAUCACAACUGACGCUGAGGGACGAAAGCUAGGGGAGCAAACAGGAUUAGAUACCCUGGUAGUCCUAGCCCUAAACCAUCAGACUCGGGGUUUGCCCUGUACGGGGCAAGUCCCGUAGCUAACGCGUUAAGUCCUGCGCCUGGGGAGUACGGUCGCAA
RNAcentral lists this ribosomal RNA (837 nucleotides) under uncultured bacterium. RNAcentral describes it as "bacterial SSU rRNA". It matches the Rfam family "Bacterial small subunit ribosomal RNA", at positions 56 to 891 of the family's 1533-position model. The record is from RNAcentral.